GAUGAACGCUGGCGGCGUGCUUAACACAUGCAAGUCGAACGAUGAAGCCCAGCUUGCUGGGUGGAUUAGUGGCGAACGGGUGAGUAACACGUGAGUAACCUGCCCUUGACUCUGGGAUAAGCCUGGGAAACUGGGUCUAAUACUGGAUAUGACUUCUCAUCGCAUGGUGGGGGGUGGAAAGAUUUAUUGGUCUUGGAUGGACUCGCGGCCUAUCAGCUUUUUUGUGAGGUAAUGGCUCACCAAGGCGACGACGGGUAUCCGGCCUGAGAGGGUGACCGGCCACACUGGGACUGAGACACGGCCCAGACUCCUACGGGAGGCAGCAGUGGGGAAUAUUGCACAAUGGGCGCAAGCCUGAUGCAGAGACGCCGCGUGAGGGAUGACGGCCUUCGGGUUGUAAACCUCUUUCAGUAGGGAAGAAGCGAGAGUGACGGUACCUGCAGAAGAAGCGCCGGCUAACUACGUG
RNAcentral lists this ribosomal RNA (466 nucleotides) under uncultured bacterium. Its description in RNAcentral is "partial 16S ribosomal RNA". It matches the Rfam family "Bacterial small subunit ribosomal RNA", at positions 28 to 507 of the family's 1533-position model. The record is from RNAcentral.